UGCAACGUUCCGUAAUCGAAUCACGGACCUUUAUUAGAGUUUAAAGCGCCCGACUCACCGCUUUCAGAUGCCUUUUCUACAGCAUUUAACGGAAAACAAGUAGGACUGACUUAUCUCCAUUUUCUUGGCUCCGUCAACACCCGCAUUCGACGAGAGUAUCCGCUCCGCUUAGUUUCGUAUUCGACGAAGCAAUCGCCAUUAAAAUUCGCCGUGUCGCUUUCGGUAAACAUGGUCAACGUGACUUUUCUGGAGGUAACGUUGAGAUCGCUACGUUGGCAUUCUCCUCUUCGAUUCUGUAGGAGGAUGAAGUCGGCGUUAGUUUAUAGAGAAUACGGCGAGCCUUUGAAGGUUGUCAAGAAGGAAGAGCAGAGCCUUAAGAAGCUCGAAGGUAACGAGGUUCUGAUCAAGAUGCUGGCUGCGCCUAUAAAUCCGGCCGAUAUUAAUAUGAUUCAGGGAACUUACGCGCUGAAACCCACGUUUCCGGCAAUCGGAGGUAACGAAGGAGUCGGGGAAGUAGUGGAGGUACAAAUAUCCUAUUUGUGACGCUUGCAUAGAAACGGAUGUAAUGCUUCUGAUGGGAGCGUCUGCGUGAUGCGGUCUGCGGAAACAAGACGGGUCGACUUUGCAUAGUAUCGGGAGAAACACAAAUGUUGAGAAAUGUACGGGUUUAUUCGGUUGAAAUGAUGCAAGGUGGUCGAUUUGCCUGGGAGGAAGGCUUUUUGAGGGAAACUACUGCAUAGUUCGAUGUUACCAACGUGAGGAAAACCCAGAAAACUCCACGUGGCUGGGCAUAAACUACUGACUACUGGCAUUUGGUGGUUUUAUCCAUUCUGCGCCAGUGGACAAAUAUAGUCGAAGCUUGUUAUACUAGACAAAAAGUUUGAUAAUCUUAGCACUUGUGUUUCUUCUAUGAAAAUCGUAUAUGUGUGUGCGUGUCUUAAAAAUACUAGGGAUUUGACUUAUAUUUGGAUCUUUUGCUUGUACCAAAAGUAUUCUCCAAAUCCAAAAAUUAAAUUCGUGCAUGUAUUCUAGGCACACAGUCCAUGAAUAUUGUGCCUUUGCUUUCACAUAAAUUUUGUCUGUGUUCAGGUUGUUGAUGUUCACAAAAAUGUUUGAAUGCAAGUGCAAGUAGAGAAUGAUGGGCACCUAACUAUCACAAAAAAUUCUCAAUAAUCUGACUGGACCCAAAUCAGGAUCUUUUGCAGAAACAGGCACGCCCUUUCUUGGCCAUCUAGCCACUAUAAUUAGCAUUUGUUUACUCUUAUUAUAUUCAAUUAGUUAAAGUGGUAGAGCACUCUAGAAAGCAAAGAAUGCCAGGUUGUAUGAUCAUCAGCAUAACUAGAAAAAGAAGUGUAGAAGAAUGUACUGUCUAUUAUAUUGUUAAAAUCUGCCUCUUAAUUUGAUAUUGACUUAUUCUUUGUCAAUAACUGCUUUUUCAUGUUACAGGAAGGAAACCUGCUACGAGCUAAACACAGUUUCGUGUUACUGAGUUAAUUUUAAUAACUCGGUAUGUUACUAAUUAAAUCGUUAAUCUCGUAUAUAUUUAUAUUAAUUUUAAGUUUACAAAGGUGGUAACAGGAAAAAAGCAAAGAACAGCUCCAUUCUAAACUUAUACAACUAUAAAUACUACUAAAUAGAUCGAAAAUUGAGAGGAAAGAUUGACUCUGAACUGGACGGACAUGUUAUCGGUCGAAUUAUCAGGGUCCCGAUCUGAUCUUUGUCUUUAAACAUGCUUAAUUUAGAAUCAGAUUGUACUGUACAAGGUCACCUUAUCAGAAUAUCCUAAGAAUAAUUCAGCAGUUGACUUAGUUUAUUUAUAUUUGUUAAAAUUAAUUGAAUUGAUUGACCUUAUUUAUAUAUGGUUAAAAUUUUAAAUAUAUGAUUUUUCUAAUUUAAUGUCAUAUUAUAUUUUAGAAUUAGAUAAUGAUGGUGUUAUGUCAAAAUGGAAGUAUACAUUAUAUGUGAUGUAAUGAAACUCCAUGCUGAUAUUUAAAAGAUAUACUCUAGGGUGAAAAAUAGUCUUGAAAUCUUCUAUACACGUUUAUUAAAUUCCAUUUUGUUUUUGAGAUUUCGUCUUCCGAAAAAUCAUCUCUGAAACCAAUUUUAUUUCUUCCGCAAAAGACAUGCUGCCAUUUGUUUUUUACUUCUGUGCUACCAAUAUGUAUAAAUCGAAGCUUUAUUUUAAAUAAACACACAAACCUUAAAUUGGCCUUGCCAAUAAGUGAACUUUCUGUUAUCAACAUUUUUGAUCCAUUUUUAAGAUCUUCCUCGGUCAGACUACCAUCCUAGCUAUAUAUAUCAACGACAAUGAGAUUAAACCGGAACUCCAGCAAGCCAUUCCAGUAUGAAAAACACCUUAUGCUGAAUGAGUCAAAAAUUUGGAAGUGCUGGAAAUAUUUAAAAUGGUGCUCCGACCUUUAAAGAAGAAAAAUGGAUCUCCCUCAUGUUGUGGGCAAUAUUUGAUUCAUCAUUAUAGGAGGCAACACACAGUCUAUAGAUAAACACGCACCACUGAAUGUUUAAAAAUUUUUAAUCUGAACUUAUUGGAUUAUCUUCUAUGCAUUCUAUUCUAGAAUGUUACUACCAGAUUUCUAAAGAGAGCUACCCGAGGAUUGUCUUAGAAGCGGACUGAAAACAAUUAUAAUGGAAAGCUCACUUAUCUGCAAUGUCAGUUUAAGGUUUGUGCAUUUAUUUUAACUUUUUGCCUUGUUACUAGAAGAUUGAUUUAGCCAUAUGUUAAAUGUUAA
Long non-coding RNA from Centruroides sculpturatus (bark scorpion), 2747 nucleotides. RefSeq lists it as uncharacterized. The transcript has 3 exons. NCBI's taxonomy places the organism in Eukaryota, Metazoa, Arthropoda, Arachnida, Scorpiones, Buthidae. The record is from RefSeq and is a predicted model, not a curated record.